RNAcentral lists this long non-coding RNA (1309 nucleotides) under Heterocephalus glaber (naked mole-rat). Its description in RNAcentral is "lncRNA (ENSHGLG00000037409.1)". Lineage: Eukaryota; Metazoa; Chordata; Mammalia; Rodentia; Bathyergidae. The record is from RNAcentral.
CUACAAUAUGUGGCAGCCUAGAACACCUAUGAGCUCCUUGUCUCCCCGGUCCUGCUCUCUUUCUUCUUUUGUCCCACCUCAGGGUUGGGAUUUCUAGUCCUUUCACUGAUCCAUGAACUGAGCACUUACUCUGUGCUGGAACUACAUUAGAGACUAAAGACAACAAGGCCCAGUCCCUUCCCUCCAAAAGUUCAGGUGGGACGAGGUUCUUCUAAACGUGCACGGCCUCCAGUGGUCCCCACAGUCCAUCAGGAGGCCAGAAGGCAGUCUGGAAGUUUCUAAGAAAAAAAUAUAUGCCGGGUGUUGUGGUACACAUCUGUAAUCUCAGCACUUGGGAGGCCGAGGCAGGAGUUCCAGGACAGCCUGGGCCACGUAGUGAGUUAAAGAACAGCCUGAACUACAUAGUGGACACUGUCUCAAAAAAAGAGAGAGAGAGAUCUGAAAAUUUUCUUUGUUGAUGUUUUACAAAUUUUAAUAAUGAUUAAGGAUUAUCUACAUUCUUACUCUUUUACCUCUGGAAAAUAAAAAACAGGUUCCCACCACUAGAAAAGUACUGAUUGCCCAAAAACCCUGGUGACAAGCAGCCAUCAGAAACCACUCAACUAAGCAAGGACAAGGACUUCAGUUAUCAAAGUUCAUGGUCAAAGAUGUCGGUCACCAACAGCCCAAAGCACAUGCCUCUGAGUGCCGACUGCCAAGACAGCCCACGGCAGCAACAGGCUGGAUAGAGACUGUGCGUGACCAGUCCAGUUCUCCCUUCCUACAAGAAGCAAUAAAUUGAACUCUCUUUUCCUUCAGGUACUGGGAUAAGGGAACAGCUCUGCCAUGGCAUCCUAAUAGGCAGGCCAUCUCCAACAAGAGCAAAAAGGCCAGACACAAUAGCUCUGAAUGGUCUGGAAUUCCUCGGAAGCAGGGGCAGAUAAUAAGCAUGGCAUGGAGAUGUCCUGAAAUACUGUCUCAUCCCUACCUUGCAGGAGUCUGGCAUGAGCCAUUUCUCAUCCAUCUCCCUGGUUUCAGUUGCAGGCACAACUUUCUGCCUUGUGGUCCCACCUUAAGGUACAGCUGCAAGCUUCUGUGCAAAUCUAUAAAACUGCAGUUCCUUGAACUUGGCUCCUCAACCAGGCAGAGGCCAGGAUGAGGCAAGUGCAGCACCUGGUGACCAUUUUCUCUUGAGGUGUUUCAGUGCUGACCCUGUCUUGCUCCUCAAUCCUGACAUCUGCCAGUGGUCCCUCUUGUAGGUAUCACACUGUAGGAUUAGGGACAUGGGGGCAAUAGCAUGCUGAUUUUUCCUUUGCUGUGUACAUAAUAA